UACGGAGGGUGCGAGCGUUGUCCGGAAUCACUGGGCGUAAAGGGCGCGUAGGUGGCGACGCAAGUCAACGGUGAAAGCUCGACGCUCAACGUCGAGUCGGCCGCGGUACUGCAUCGCUGGAGCACUGUAGAGGCAGAUGGAAUUCCGGGUGUAGCGGUGGAAUGCGUAGAGAUCCGGAAGAACACCGGUGGCGAAGGCGGUCUGCUGGGCAG
RNAcentral lists this ribosomal RNA (212 nucleotides) under uncultured bacterium. RNAcentral's name for it is "partial 16S ribosomal RNA". It matches the Rfam family "Bacterial small subunit ribosomal RNA", at positions 524 to 736 of the family's 1533-position model. The record is from RNAcentral.